GACGAACGCUGGCGGCGUGCCUAAUACAUGCAAGUCGAACGCACUCUCGUUUAGAUUGAAGGAGUUUGCUCCUGAUUGAUCAACAUUUGAGUGAGUGGCGGACGGGUGAGUAACACGUGGGUAACCUGCCCUAAAGUGGGGGAUAACAUUUGGAAACAGAUGCUAAUACCGCAUAAAACCUAACACCGCAUGGUGUAGGGUUGAAAGAUGGUUUCGGCUAUCACUUUAGGAUGGACCCGCGGUGCAUUAGUUAGUUGGUGAGGUAAAGGCUCACCAAGACCGUGAUGCAUAGCCGACCUGAGAGGGUAAUCGGCCACACUGGGACUGAGACACGGCCCAGACUCCUACGGGAGGCAGCAGUAGGGAAUCUUCCACAAUGGACGAAAGUCUGAUGGAGCAACGCCGCGUGAGUGAAGAAGGUGUUCGGAUCGUAAAACUCUGUUGUUGGAGAAGAAUGUAUCUGAUAGUAACUGAUCAGGUAGUGACGGUAUCCAACCAGAAAGCCACGGCUAACUACGUG
RNAcentral lists this ribosomal RNA (520 nucleotides) under uncultured bacterium. RNAcentral describes it as "partial 16S ribosomal RNA". It matches the Rfam family "Bacterial small subunit ribosomal RNA", at positions 28 to 507 of the family's 1533-position model. The record is from RNAcentral.